UGGGGAAUUUUGGACAAUGGGCGAAAGCCUGAUCCAGCAAUGCCGCGUGUGUGAAGAAGGCCUUCGGGUUGUAAAGCACUUUUGUCCGGAAAGAAAUCCUUGGCUCUAAUACAGUCGGGGGAUGACGGUACCGGAAGAAUAAGCACCGGCUAACUACGUGCCAGCAGCCGCGGUAAUACGUAGGGUGCAAGCGUUAAUCGGAAUUACUGGGCGUAAAGCGUGCGCAGGCGGUUUGCUAAGACCGAUGUGAAAUCCCCGGGCUCAACCUGGGAACUGCAUUGGUGACUGGCAGGCUAGAGUAUGGCAGAGGGGGGUAGAAUUCCACGUGUAGCAGUGAAAUGCGUAGAGAUGUGGAGGAAUACCGAUGGCGAAGGCAGCCCCCUGGGCCAAUACUGACGCUCAUGCACGAAAGCGUGGGGAGCAAAACAGGAUUAGAUACCCCUGGUAGUCCACGCCCUAAAACGAUGUCAACUAGUUGUUGGGGAUUCAUUUCCUUAGUAACGUAGCUAACGCGUGAAGUUGACCGCCU
This 529-nucleotide ribosomal RNA is filed under the name uncultured bacterium. RNAcentral's name for it is "partial 16S ribosomal RNA". It matches the Rfam family "Bacterial small subunit ribosomal RNA", at positions 355 to 874 of the family's 1533-position model. The record is from RNAcentral.